GGGCGAUUAGCUCAGAGGUAAGAGCGUCUGUUUUACACACAGAAGGUCACUGGUUCGAGUCCAGUAUCGCCCACCA
This 76-nucleotide transfer RNA is filed under the name Dehalococcoidia bacterium. RNAcentral describes it as "tRNA-Val". It matches the Rfam family "tRNA". From Rfam's summary of the family: Transfer RNA (tRNA) molecules are approximately 80 nucleotides in length. Their secondary structure includes four short double-helical elements and three loops (D, anti-codon, and T loops). RNAcentral also lists the same sequence under 1 other name. Lineage: Bacteria; Bacillati; Chloroflexota; Dehalococcoidia. The record is from RNAcentral.